This 1723-nucleotide unclassified non-coding RNA is filed under the name Amphibalanus amphitrite. Its description in RNAcentral is "ras-related protein Rab-18-B-like, transcript variant X6". The record is from RNAcentral. Lineage: Eukaryota; Metazoa; Arthropoda; Thecostraca; Balanomorpha; Balanidae.
AUUGGGUGUUUUCUUAUGCAAUACACGUAUGAAGGUACGCUACUGCGCAUUUAAGGUGGUUCCUGGGCACUGAGGACUGAGGAGGAUAGAGUACCACUUACUUCUACAUACCAGAUAUCAAAAUGGAAGAGGAUCCCAUCUUGGCCACCUUGAAGAUUCUCAUUAUUGGUGAAAGUGGUGCUGGAAAAUCCAGUCUGCUUCUGCGGUUCGUUGACAACACGUUUGAUCCCGAUCAGAGCGCCACCAUUGGAGUCGACUUCAAGGUCAAAACCAUCAACGUGGACGGCAACAAAGUCAAACUGGCGAUAUGGGACACAGCCGGCCAGGAGCGGUUUCGGACGCUGACGCCCAGCUACUACCGCGGCGCCCAGGGCGUCAUCCUCGUCUACGACGUCUGCAGCCGCGCCAGCUUCACCAAGCUGGACAUGUGGCUCAACGAGCUGCAGACCUACGCCAACCGCACCAACAUCGUCAAAAUGCUGGUCGGCAACAAAAUUGACAUGGAGAACCGCGCCGUAUCCCGACAGGAGGGCCUGGCGUUCGCACGCCGCCACCAGAUGCUCCACAUCGAGUCCAGCGCCAAGACCAAGGAGGGAGUCCAGCUGGCCUUCGAGGAGCUCGUCCAAAAGAUAAUCCAGACGCCCGGUCUGUGGGAGUCGGACGAGGCACGCCGCGACGGCCAGCUGCGGGUCGGUGACGGCGCCGACGCACACCAGGGAGCCUGCGGCGGCUACUGUGCGCUGACGUGAUGUGGCGACACUGUGACUACCUGCCGAUCGUGACCCGAGGUGACCUGUGGGCCAGCUGCCGAGCGUGACCCGAGGUGACAAAGGAGCCAAACGAGUGACCUGCGACGGCCCUGGACAUGAGAGAAUGACCUACGCUGGCCUGGGACAUUGGCGAGUGUUCUUCGUUUGCCUUGGACCUGGGAGAGACCUGCCUGAGAGAGACCUUGAUGAUCACGGGUCUGGGACGGCUAUUACUAGCCUGGAAACCGCGCUAGUGGUUCAUCUGUAACCGAUAACUGGCUACACACUGCUGACUUGUGUCAGUUGUGACCACAACACUAUCACACGGGUAUCCGUGACACGACUUAUGAUUUGAGAGGUAGCACUGAGACGAUUCUGCGUGGUGGGUGUGUUUCGGGCGGCUUCUGGGGUGAUCUGGACUUGUGUCUCAGUCUGCCGUUCAUAAGUAAGAGACCCAACCGACCCCUUCGGUUAGCUGGGCCUCUCUAGGGACUCGUGACUGGGGAUAAGUGAUAAUUCUGUACGAACGAGUGUCGGUCUGGUAAAUGCCUGCAGCUGUGGGAUGAUUCAGUGUGUAUUUGCACGCUGUUCUGAGGAAGAUAUGGUUGAGUGUGGUGCCCGUCAGUGUAAACAGUGACUGGCUGGUGCUGGAGGAACCCGUGUGACCAGCACAAUGUGCUCCGUGAAACGACAGUAGAUAUGUGCUCGCGAUGGCCAGAGGACCACGACAGGUGUUCGCCGUGCUACGCCUGUUGUUAUAUUAACGGCUUUGCGGGGCUGAUAUAUUUUAGUCACCUAAAUAUAAGUGGUCAUGGGCCUAUCAAUUAUUUUAAUGAUUGGGGAUAUCUUGUACGGGGAGGUAUUUACAUAUGUAGUGAUCUGUCGGCCCGUUUGCCUUAGAAAUGCCCUCUUGGUCGUUGAGUUUGUGCUAGUCAGGCUAAGUUAUGUGAAAUAAAGGUAAAUUUUAAACCAGC